Molecule: ribosomal RNA, 548 nt
Filed under: uncultured bacterium
Lineage: Bacteria
Description: bacterial SSU rRNA
Rfam family: Bacterial small subunit ribosomal RNA
Source: RNAcentral
GGGGAAUUUUGGACAAUGGGCGCAAGCCUGAUCCAGCCAUGCCGCGUGUCUGAAGAAGGCCUUCGGGUUGUAAAGGACUUUUGUCAGGGAAGAAAAGGGCGGGGUUAAUACCCCUGUCUGAUGACGGUACCUGAAGAAUAAGCACCGGCUAACUACGUGCCAGCAGCCGCGGUAAUACGUAGGGUGCGAGCGUUAAUCGGAAUUACUGGGCGUAAAGCGGGCGCAGACGGUUACUUAAGCAGGAUGUGAAAUCCCCGGGCUCAACCUGGGAACUGCGUUCUGAACUGGGUGACUAGAGUGUGUCAGAGGGAGGUAGAAUUCCACGUGUAGCAGUGAAAUGCGUAGAGAUGUGGAGGAAUACCGAUGGCGAAGGCAGCCUCCUGGGAUAACACUGACGUUCAUGCUCGAAAGCGUGGGUAGCAAACAGGAUUAGAUACCCUGGUAGUCCACGCCCUAAACGAUGUCAAUUAGCUGUUGGGCAACUUGAUUGCUUAGUAGCGUAGCUAACGCGUGAAAUUGACCGCCUGGGGAGUACGGUCGCAAGAUUA